RNAcentral lists this antisense RNA (69 nucleotides) under Streptomyces sp. DI166. Its description in RNAcentral is "ASpks TB sRNA". It matches the Rfam family "ASpks TB sRNA". The record is from Rfam by way of RNAcentral. Lineage: Bacteria; Bacillati; Actinomycetota; Actinomycetes; Kitasatosporales; Streptomycetaceae.
CUUCACGGACCCCAGCCACAGCGGUCGUUCACGAUCCCGCCCGUACGUGGCCAGCAGCGCGUCCGCCUC